This 480-nucleotide ribosomal RNA is filed under the name uncultured bacterium. Its description in RNAcentral is "partial 16S ribosomal RNA". It matches the Rfam family "Bacterial small subunit ribosomal RNA", at positions 28 to 523 of the family's 1533-position model. The record is from RNAcentral.
GACGAACGCUGGCGGCGUGCCUAACACAUGCAAGUCGAGCGAUUGAAUCUCCUUCGGGAGUGAAGCUAGCGGCGGACGGGUGAGUAACACGUGGGCAACCUGCCUCAUAGAGGGGAAUAGCCUUUCGAAAGGAAGAUUAAUACCGCAUAAGAUUGUAGCUUCGCAUGAAGUAGCAAUUAAAGGAGCAAUCCGCUAUGAGAUGGGCCCGCGGGGCAUUAGCUAGUUGGUGAGGUAACGGCUCACCAAGGCGACGAUGCGUAGCCGACCUCGGAGGGUAGUCGCCUGCAAUGGUGCUACGGCACGGCCCAGUGUCCGACGGGAGGCAGAAGUGGGGAAGAGUAAACAAUGGGGGCAACCCGGAGACAGCGACGCCCGGUGAGUGAUGACGGCCUUCGGGUUGUAAAGCGCUGUCUUCAGGGACGAUAAGGACGGUACCUGAGGAGGAAGCCACGGCUAACUACGUGCCAGCCGCCGCGGUAA